This 406-nucleotide ribosomal RNA is filed under the name uncultured bacterium. Its description in RNAcentral is "partial 16S ribosomal RNA". It matches the Rfam family "Bacterial small subunit ribosomal RNA", at positions 30 to 526 of the family's 1533-position model. The record is from RNAcentral.
AUUGAACGCUGGCGGCAGGCCUAACACAUGCAAGUCGAACGAGUGGCGGACGGGUGAGUAAUGUCUGGGCCACUGCCCGAUGGAGGGGGAUCACUACUGGAAACGGUAGCUAAUUCCGCCUACCAUCGGAUGUGCCCAGGUGGGAUUAGCGAGUGGGUGGGGUAAUGGCUCACCUAGGCGACGAUCCCUAGCUGGUCUGAGAGGAUGACCAGCCACACUGGAACUGAGACACGGUCCAGACUCCUACGGGAGGCAGCAGUGGGGAAUAUUGCACAAUGGGCGAAAGCCUGAUGCAGCCAUGCCGCGUGUAUGAAGAAGGUCUUCGGAUUGUAAAGUACUUUAAGCGGGGAGGCGUUACUCGCAGAAGAAGCACCGGCUAACUCCGUGCCAGCAGCCGCGGUAAUAC